Molecule: ribosomal RNA, 433 nt
Filed under: uncultured bacterium
Lineage: Bacteria
Description: partial 16S ribosomal RNA
Rfam family: Bacterial small subunit ribosomal RNA
Source: RNAcentral
AACGAACGCUGGCGGCAGGCCUAACACAUGCAAGUCGAGCGAGACCUUCGGGUCUAGCGGCGGACGGGUGAGUAACGCGUGGGAACGUGCCCUUUUCUACGGAAUAGCCUCGGGAAACUGAGCGUAAUACCGUAUACGCCCUUUGGGGGAAAGAUUUAUCGGAGAAGGAUCGGCCCGCGUUGGAUUAGGUAGUUGGUGGGGUAAUGGCCUACCAAGCCUACGAUCCAUAGCUGGUUUGAGAGGAUGAUCAGCCACACUGGGACUGAGACACGGCCCAGACUCCUACGGGAGGCAGCAGUGGGGAAUCUUAGACAAUGGGGGCAACCCUGAUCUAGCCAUGCCGCGUGAGUGAUGAAGGCCUUAGGGUUGUAAAGCUCUUUCAGCUGGGAAGAUAAUGACGGUACCAGUAGAAGAAGCCCCGGCUAACUCCGUG